Molecule: small nucleolar RNA, 107 nt
Organism: Humulus lupulus (European hop)
Lineage: Eukaryota; Viridiplantae; Streptophyta; Magnoliopsida; Rosales; Cannabaceae
Source: RefSeq, a predicted model, not a curated record
AUUUGGUGGUGGGGGCAGCUAGCACAUAACCUCUUAAAUCUCUCCCAAUACUCAUAUAAUGACUCCCCAGUUUGUUGGCAAAUGCCACAGAUUUCCUUCCUUAUACU